Molecule: transfer-messenger RNA, 359 nt
Filed under: Corallincola sp.
Lineage: Bacteria; Pseudomonadati; Pseudomonadota; Gammaproteobacteria; Alteromonadales; Psychromonadaceae
Also listed under: 1 other name
Rfam family: transfer-messenger RNA
About the family: Bacterial tmRNA, also known as 10Sa RNA or SsrA, is named for its dual tRNA and mRNA-like properties. Its role is to liberate the mRNA from a stalled ribosome.
Source: RNAcentral
GGGGCCGAUCCUGGAUUCGACGGGAACUUCGACCUCCGAGGUGCAUGCCGAGGUGCGGUUGGCCUCGUAAACAAACCGCAAAAAAUAGUCGCAAACGACGAAACCUACGCUCUCGCUGCUUAAACACCAGUGGUGAGCCCUUCCCCUCACGUCUGCCUAUGGGCUGAGAUCAGGAAGGUCACCCUUCAUAGGAUCGCGUAGCGGCCUCGCCCGGGGCUUAAGCGUUAAAACCAAUCGGGCUAGUCUGUCAGUAGCCUGCCCGUCGGCAGCUGCCAGGCGAAUGUAAUGGCGUGGCUAAGCAUGUAGUACCAAGGACUUAGGGUUUUCGGACGGGGGUUCAACUCCCCCCGGCUCCACCA